Molecule: long non-coding RNA, 725 nt
Filed under: Pongo abelii (Sumatran orangutan)
Lineage: Eukaryota; Metazoa; Chordata; Mammalia; Primates; Hominidae
Description: lincRNA
Source: RNAcentral
AGGAGUUGCUGAGAAGGAGCUGUGGUUCUGACCUUCAGGGGAAUUCCCACGUCUGUAUGGUGGCUCGUGAAGAGCAUGGUUCCUUUUCUCAGCCCUCUGGAGCGGCGAGGAUGCUGAGGACUGAAGUCUGUGGGGCUUGAUGCAUGUGGUCACUGGGAGGCUGCCACAGGGCCAUUUUCAUGACCAGAGGGGUCUGUUCAACACCCUGUGGGUCCCAGCACCUAUCUCAGGAAGCAGGGUGCAUCUGUCCAUCACUGAGUCUCAGGGUGGCUGGGUGAGCGCUCAUCAGUCCCAGACAGCAGGUCGGCACAAAACGACACUGCCCACAAAACCACAGGAAGAAGAGAAACUCCGACUGUCAUUCAGUACACAGAAGACACUGUACUGGACCCGGACAUUAGGUAGACACCCACGCCUGACUUUCAGGAGAAAAGAGAACAUAACAAACGGAUAUUCUUAGUAGAUGGUUUAUUAGAAAAGAGAACAUCUUCCAGCAUGUGUCCUGGGGUGAUGGGUGUGGGAAGCACUCAGUCCAUAGUCCUGGUCCCUGGCUUCCCCAAGCCCAGCACCGUGAAUGUACAGUGGAAAGCAGAGGGUGCAGCGUCUCAGAAAGAUGCUUCCACUCACAAGGAUUGGAGCUCACAAGUGAGCUCGAUAACCUGCAAACCAGAGAAACCUGAGACACUGCUCCUUGGCCGUUUUAUCAACUGAGACUUUAUUGUGAU